This is a long non-coding RNA of Oreochromis aureus, 1841 nucleotides long. NCBI's taxonomy places the organism in Eukaryota, Metazoa, Chordata, Actinopteri, Cichliformes, Cichlidae. The record is from Ensembl.
UUUGUCUUUAGUGUCUGGUCGUUCUGGCAUUUUAAGCUGGAAAGCUUCACAAAGGUCAGAGGUUACAAAUUCAAUUCUCUGAGUAACACAUCCAUAUCAUAAACUGAUAUAAUGUUCCUAUGAUAAUGAAUAAAUAAUAAAAUAAGCUUAGCUGCUAUUGGGGAACAAACAUGUUCCAAUAUCCCCACUGGGUGGCUUUGGAAAAUGCAGCUUUGCUGCUUUUCAGCUGACGACCUCAUCAAAGGUGAUUCAUACGACACCAAAGUAAAUAAACAAUAAACAGGCUGUUAAGUUACAGAAAGCUCCUGUUUUUUCACCAUCUAGUACAGAAAUUUAUUAGAGAAACUUCAGAGGUGCUGGUAAAGUUGCACUUCUCUUUCUUACACUGAGAUAUGUCAGAUUAAAUGUGAACUUAAACUACUUUACAUCGAGGGGAGUUUAAUGUGGCCCACGAUGUAAAACCAGUUUGACAUCCCUGACCCAGAGUCAUUCACUAAUAUUAAUGAACUGGUAAACAACAUGCUGUCAUUCAAACAGGGUUCAUCUUCACUUUUAAGGUCAGUAUUCACUCAGAUCUGCCAGUGACAGUGAUGGAAGAGCAACACCUCCACCUUUUAAAUACAUUAAAUGGAAAGGAUUUAUAAUACAGUGGGUCGUUCCAUGUCACUGUGAUAGAUCUGGAUAGAUGAUGAACAUUAGAGGUACACAAUAUUUUACCUUCAUACAAUAAAAUAUUUCAGGUGUUAGAGGUCAUUGAGUUACACAUAGAGCAGGUGAAACUUGUCAAUUAUUAUGUCCUAAUAUUUUUUUUCCAGGAUUUUUCUCAAUUAUAGCGAUUCGGGUAAAUGAUGCAUCAUUUGUCUGAACUCUGUAGUGAUGUCAUGUAGUGUGAUCCAGGAUUAAAUUAAACAAUUAGUUUUUAAACCAGUGUUGUUUUGUAAGUUUAGUGUUUUGUUAGUUUACACAUACUAAACCGUAGAGACAUUUGAAACCUGCUGUUCAUGAGGAUGCUAGUUAAAAUCCCGGUUCUGUUGUUUAUGUUUUCUGUAGAUCACAAAACCAACAACAGCAGCAACAAGAAGCACAGCAGGAACACUCAGACCAGCGAUGAGUCCAACAGGUGCAACUGUGAGUUCUGCUGUCUGACCUGCAGGUGAGAAACAGGUGUGAGGUGUCAGCUGUCAGGUAGGUGAUGAGUGAAGAACAGAACAGAAUCCAUUUCCUCUUCAAACUGCUGUCAGACAUUAUCUACUGCACUCUGAUCACAUCACUCAGACCAGCUGCUUUCUACAAAGUCUCAUCAACAACAUCUUUAGAAACAAACAUCAACAACCAGGAAGCAGCUUCACCUCUGAUCACACACACACUCAACUCUACUCACUCACCUGAAACAGUCAGGCUGACAGUGUUGAUGAUCUCCCAUGAAUCUGUCACUCCGUUGAAAAUAUCACAAUUGUAUGAUCCACCAUCAGCAGUCGUCACAUUCUUCAGAAUCAAAGAUACGUCUCCAUCCUUCAUCUGUCUGUCCUGCAGAUCCACCCGGUUCUUAAAAGAUGGAUGCUGCUCUUCUGGAUCCAGCUGCUCAUCCCGGAACAGAAGCACAUAUUCAUCUCCCAGGUCAGCUCUGCUCCACUUCACAGCUCUGAUGGUUUUGUCUGGUGAUACUCGACAUGGUAGAACUACGUCCUGUCCAGACUCAGCUGUGGUAGUGCUCUGGGCUGAAAAAGGAAACAACACAGAGCACAGAGGUUAAAGGUCAAAGUACAACUGUUCAGUUCUACAGCAGCCAAUCAGAGACAGGAUCAGUGACCAGUGAACCCCACUGAACCAAAGAAGAGGAA